GACGAACCGUGCGAACGUUGUUCGGAAUCACUGGGCUUAAAGGGCGCGUAGGCGGGCUGCCAAGUCUGGGGUGAAAUCCUUCGGCUCAACCGGAGAACGGCCUCGGAUACUGGCGGUCUUGAGGGAGGUAGGGGCGUGCGGAACUAAGGGUGGAGCGGUGAAAUGCGUUGAUAUCCUUAGGAACUCCGGUGGCGAAGGCGGCACGCUGGACCUUUUCUGACGCUGAGGUGCGAAAGCCAGGGGAGCAAACGGG
This 253-nucleotide ribosomal RNA is filed under the name uncultured bacterium. RNAcentral's name for it is "partial 16S ribosomal RNA". It matches the Rfam family "Bacterial small subunit ribosomal RNA", at positions 524 to 776 of the family's 1533-position model. The record is from RNAcentral.